ACCUGCCCAUUGAGAUUUAAAAGGCCGCGGUAUUNUGACCGUGNUAAGGUAGNAUAAUCAUUAGUCUUUUAAUUGAAGGCUGGUAUGAAUGGUUNGACAAGAGAUAAGNUNUNUNGAGCAAAAAUNUUGAANUUAANUUUUAAGUGAAAAGGCUUAAAUUUCCUGGGGGGACGAUAAGACCCUAUAAAACUUUAUAUUUUAAAAAUAUUAAUUAAUUUUGUAUAAGAAGGUUAUUUUUAAGUAUUUUAUUGGGGUGAUAGGGAUAUAAUAAAAGAUAACUGUUUCUUUUUUUUUACAGAGGUGUUUGAGUAAAGGAUCCUAAUAAGGGAAAGAAGGUUAAGUUACUUUAGGGAUAACAGCGUAAUUUUCUUUAAGAGUUCUUAUCGACAAGAAAGUUUGCAACCUCGAUGUUGAAUUAAAAGUUCUUUAUGGANCAAAAACUAUAAUAAAAGGUCUGUUCAACCUUUAAAAUUUUACAUGAUUUGAGUUCAGACCGGUGNAAACCAGGUUGG
RNAcentral lists this ribosomal RNA (512 nucleotides) under Austropotamobius fulcisianus fulcisianus. RNAcentral describes it as "partial 16S ribosomal RNA". It matches the Rfam family "Archaeal large subunit ribosomal RNA", at positions 1949 to 2703 of the family's 2987-position model. The record is from RNAcentral. Lineage: Eukaryota; Metazoa; Arthropoda; Malacostraca; Decapoda; Astacidae.